UAGKGGACAKAMCGGUCAGACUCUACGGGAGGCAGCAGUAGGGAAUCUUCCGCAAUGGACGAAAGUCUGACGGAGCAACGCCGCGUGAGUGAUGAAGGUUUUCGGAUCGUAAAGCUCUGUUGUUAGGGAAGAACAAGUACCGUUCGAAUAGGGCGGUACCUUGACGGUACCUAACCAGAAAGCCACGGCUAACUACGUGCCAGCAGCCGCGGUAAUACGUAGGUGGCAAGCGUUGUCCGGAAUUAUUGGGCGUAAAGGGCUCGCAGGCGGUUUCUUAAGUCUGAUGUGAAAGCCCCCGGCUCAACCGGGGAGGGUCAUUGGAAACUGGGGAACUUGAGUGCAGAAGAGGAGAGUGGAAUUCCACGUGUAGCGGUGAAAUGCGUAGAGAUGUGGAGGAACACCAGUGGCGAAGGCGACUCUCUGGUCUGUAACUGACGCUGAGGAGCGAAAGCGUGGGGAGCGAACAGGAUUAGAUACCCUGGUAGUCCACGCCGUAAACGAUGAGUGCUAAGUGUUAGGGGGUUUCCGCCCCUUAGUGCUGCAGCUAACGCAUUAAGCACUCCGCCUGGGGAGUACGGUCGCAAGACUGAAACUCAAAGGAAUUGACGGGGGCCCGCACAAGCGGUGGAKCAUGUGGUUUAAUUCGAAGCAACGCGAAAACCUUACCAGGUCUUGACMUCCUCUGACAAUCCUAGAGAURGGACGUCCCCUUCGGGGGCAAAARUGAMAGGUGRRWGCAUGGGUUGUC
This 748-nucleotide ribosomal RNA is filed under the name Bacillus subtilis. RNAcentral describes it as "bacterial SSU rRNA". It matches the Rfam family "Bacterial small subunit ribosomal RNA", at positions 317 to 1053 of the family's 1533-position model. Lineage: Bacteria; Bacillati; Bacillota; Bacilli; Caryophanales; Bacillaceae. The record is from RNAcentral.